RNAcentral lists this ribosomal RNA (955 nucleotides) under Stheneboea repudiosa. RNAcentral describes it as "SSU rRNA". It matches the Rfam family "Eukaryotic small subunit ribosomal RNA", at positions 424 to 1318 of the family's 1831-position model. The record is from RNAcentral. Lineage: Eukaryota; Metazoa; Arthropoda; Insecta; Phasmatodea; Lonchodidae.
AGCAGCAGGCGCGCAAAUUACCCACUCCCGGCACGGGGAGGUAGUGACGAAAAAUAACGAUACGGGACUCAUCCGAGGCCCCGUAAUCGGAAUGAGGACACUUUAAACCCUUUAACGAGUAUCCAUUGGAGGGCAAGUCUGGUGCCAGCAGCCGCGGUAAUUCCAGCUCCAAUAGCGUAUAUUAAAGUUGUUGCGGUUAAAAAGCUCGUAGUUGGACUUGUGUCCCACGCUGUCGGUUCACCGUUCGUCGGUGUUUAACUGGCAUGCCCGUGCGGACGUCCUGCCGGUGGAUGCGGUCGGCCGUGGGCCUCUGGUCUGCGUGUCGGCGGUCCGAUGCAAUCCUACCGCGGUGCUCUUCACCGAGUGUCGAGGUGGGCCGGCACGUUUACUUUGAACAAAUUAGAGUGCUCAAAGCAGGCAGUGGUUCGCCUGAAUAUUGUGUGCAUGGAAUAAUGGAAUAGGACCUCGGUUCUAUUUUGUUGGUUUUCGGAACUUGAGGUAAUGAUUAAUAGGGACAAACGGGGGCAUUCGUAUUGCGACGUUAGAGGUGAAAUUCUUGGAUCGUCGCANGACGAACCUAAGCGAAAGCAUUUGCCAUGAGUGUUUUCAUUAAUCAAGAACGAAAGUUAGAGGUUCGAAGGCGAUCAGAUACCGCCCUAGUUCUAACCAUAAACGAUGCCAGCUAGCGAUCCGCCGAAGUUCCUCCGAUGACUCGGCGGGCAGCUUCCGGGAAACCAAAGCUUUUGGGUUCCGGGGGAAGUAUGGUUGCAAAGCUGAAACUUAAAGGAAUUGACGGAAGGGCACCACCAGGAGUGGAGCCUGCGGCUUAAUUUGACUCAACACGGGAAACCUCACCAGGCCCGGACACCGGAAGGAUUGACAGAUUGAGAGCUCUUUCUUGAUUCGGUGGGUGGUGGUGCAUGGCCGUUCUUAGUUGGUGGAGCGAUUUGUCUGG